Oncorhynchus nerka (sockeye salmon) is the source of this 5713-nucleotide RNA transcript. It is a transcript of the gene named ubiquitin carboxyl-terminal hydrolase CYLD-like, with no coding region annotated. The record is from RefSeq and is a predicted model, not a curated record. The transcript has 20 exons. Lineage: Eukaryota; Metazoa; Chordata; Actinopteri; Salmoniformes; Salmonidae.
AUUGACCAAUGGGUUUUUUAAAUUGACAUAAUCUCAGGCGACAAACAUUUCGGUGUCUAUUGGUUCUGUAAAUACUAUUUAUUCCUCUCGCUAUAAAGCCUGAUUUCGUUUGUCGGUCAGUAUUUAAUAGUAUAGUCAAAGAGUCGUUCAGAAAAAUAGUUAUCUACAUUAAAUGCCGUAGAUAACAGGCUCUGUGUUGCAUGGGGGCAGCUAGCUAGCCAUACUAGCUAUUUUGGCUAGCUAAUUUCGAGGCUGUCAUAUCAGUUUUCAGCUGGUUUGCUGUCAACAAACUAGCCAGUUAUUUGUACAAACGUAUCACAACCUCAGCUACGAAAGGACAGCAUUGGAAUGAGCAGGUGACAUGACACUCCAGCACCGAACUGACGUUUGAAUAAGGUCCUACGACGUACAUUGGGGCAUGCAGGCAGACAGUUGAGACCAUUAUGAGGGCACCCCAGGCCAGCAGGAGCCUGUGAACGGCCAUAACACCCUCUCUGUCUACUCUCUAACCAGACAACCUUCCCCUCAGGUGUUAGGCCUAGUUUCUCUCUCACCCUUGUUAUGCCUCUUUCACUGCUUUGGGGAUAGAGGAACGUCCAUAAAGGGAAGAGAGAGGGGCUUCAUAUUGGGUUAGUUAGACAGGCGGACCCUGUAUUUCCCCCUGCUAUGCCCCAGCUGCCCCAGCCCCUAAAGCCAUGAGCUCUGCCCUGUGGAGCCAGGAGAAGCCCAGUGGCGGCUUCAGGGAGGACUGGCGCUUCUACAUGGUGGUCAAGGAGUGUACAGUGGAGAAGCCCCCCCAGAAGACGCUGAGGAUCCCCCGGGGCAGCCUGGGACAGGCCUGCCAGGAAAGGAACAGCCUGGGGCGCACGCUGCCCCCCAGCAAGGGCAAGAGGAGCAUACGCAUCCUGGACCAGACCAACGUGGUGCUGAGCCUGGAUGAGCGGGACGUCCUGGAGCUGGAUGAGAAGCUAGCUGAGCUGCUGUUCCCCAUCACCAACUGUGAGGAGCGCUAUGCCCUGCUGUGCAACAAGCCCAGGCUGGAGCGGGCCAGAGACAUCGACUGUGGCUCCAAGGUGCGCGUGCAGCUGCGUUCGGGGGAUGAACCUUUGCCCGGGGUAGUCCGAUUUAAAGGAUCUCUCCUCCCAGACAGGGCUCUCUCCGGGGUCUGGUUUGGAGUGGAGCUGCUGGAGGAGGGCAGAGGCCAGGGCUUCACAGAGGGCUCCUACCAGGGCCGACAGCUGUUCCGCUGUGAGGAUGAGUGCGGGGUGUUCGUGGCCCUGGACAAGCUGGAGCUGUGGGAUGACGAGGAAGAGGAGCUGGGAGAGCUAGAGGUGGAUCACGUCACCCUGGUGGAGGAUGAGAUGGAUUUCCAUCAGCUGGAGAUCAACUCCAGGGUCCUGGUCCAGACCAGAGAGGGGCCGGAGAGGGGAACCAUCAUCUUCUGUGACCUGCUGCCUGGGAACGAGAGCCUGGGGUACUAUGUGGGAGUAGACAUGGACAAUCCUAUUGGGGACUGGGAUGGUGUUAUCGAUGGGAAGCUGCUGUGUAAUUUCGCCAGUCUGGAACACACCCGUCUAGUCCCCAUCUGUGACGUAAUGCCAGAGUACUCCAUGCAGGACCAGAGGCUGCAGAAGCACAGUUUUACCCCCAGAGGCAGCAGCAGUGACAAGUCCUCCUCUGGCCAAAGCAAACCAAAGAGCAAAGGCUUAGGUCUUCAGUGUGGGAGUAGAAGCAAGUCAGAAUUGUAUUAUACUUUAAAUGGCAGCUCUGUUGACCACCCAGUCCAGGCCAAAUCCAAAAGCACAUGGUACAUUGAUGAAGUCGGGGAGGACCCUGCCAAGUCCCUCACAGACACGCCCCCUGACUUCAAUGAAGCCACACCUCCUACCAGGGCCCCGCCCUCUGCUUCCUUGUCCAAUGACAACAAGUUCCAUUCCCUGCCCUUCAGCCUGAGCCGUAAGACGGGGCCCAAUGGCAGCAUGAGCCAUGGACCCCUCUCCCUCUCCGUGCAGUCAGUGAUGGGAGAGCAGAUGCAGAUGCCAGAGCCCCCGUCCCCUACCCCUCCCUCUCCGCAGCCCCCCUCACCUCCCAGCUCUCGCGGGGGUGGGGGAGUGCCUGGUCUGGAGGUGGGGUCCCUAGUGGAGGUGAAGGAGAACCCGCCCCUGUGUGGGGUCAUCCGCUGGGUGGGCCUGCCCCCGGGACUACCAGAGCCACUAGCUGGCCUGGAGCUGGAGGAAGAGUGUGUUGGCUGUACAGACGGCACCUUUCAAGGUACCCGUUACUUCAGCUGCGCGCCCAAGAAGGCCCUGUUUGUGAAGCUGAAAUGCUGCCGGCCGGACUCCCGUUUCCCCUCCCUACACCACUCCUCCAACCCCAUCGAGAGAUGCAACUCUAUCGCUUUCGGGGGUUAUCUGAGUGAGGUGGUGCAUGAGAACACUCCUCCACGCACUGAGAAUGACGGUCUAGACAUCAUGGUGGGCAAGAAGAAAGGUAUCCAGGGACACUACAACUCCUGCUACCUGGACUCCACACUCUUCUGCCUGUUUUCCUUCAGCUCAGUCCUGGACACAGUUCUGCUGAGGCCGAGGUCCAAGACUGACGUAGAGUAUUACCGAGAGACACAGGAGCUGCUACGCACAGAGAUAGUCAACCCCCUGCGCAUACAUGGCUAUGUGUGUGCCACUAAAGUGAUGAAGCUCAGAAGGAUACUGGAGAAGGUAGAAGCUGCCUCAGGGUUCACGUCUGAAGAAAAAGAUCCUGAGGAGUUCCUCAAUAUUCUGUUCCAUCACAUAUUGAGGGUGGACCCCUUACUCAAGCUGAGGUCGGCAGGUCAGAAGGUUCAGGACUGCUACUUCUACCAGAUCUUCAUGGAUAAGAAGGACAAAGUGGGCGUGCCAACCAGCCAGCAGCUCUUAGAGUGGUCCUUCAUCAACAGUGACCUCAAGUUUGCUGAGGCUCCUUCCUGCCUUAUCAUCCAGAUGCCGCGUUUUGGGAAGGACUUCAAGAUGUUCAACAAGAUCUUCCCCUCACUGGAGUUAGACAUCACAGACUUACUUGAAGACACUCCCAGGGAGUGUCGAAUCUGCGGGGGUCUGGCUCUGUAUGAAUGCAGGGAGUGCUACGAGGACGGUGACAUCACUGCCGGGAAGAUAAAACAGUUCUGUGAAAAGUGCAAUACACAGGUUCACCUCCACCCGAGGAGGAAGGCCCAUCGCCACGGCAAGUUGUCCGUCCCCAAGGAACUGCAGGAGGGUGUGUGGCGGCAGGGUAGCUACCCUCGUCAGCGGAUGGAGCUGUUCGCCGUGCUCUGCAUAGAGACCAGUCACUACGUAGCGUUCGUCAAGUACGGCCACCAAGACUCCGCAUGGCUCUUCUUCGACAGUAUGGCCGACCGCGACGGAGGGCAGAAUGGCUUCAACAUCCCCCAGGUGUCUCCAUGUCCGGAGGUGGGGGCCUAUCUGAAGAUGACCCCUGAGGAGCUGCACGCCCUGGACCCCAAGAGCAUCCAGGGCCAGGCCCGCCGUCUGCUGUGUGACGCCUACAUGUGCAUGUACCAGAGCCCCACCAUGAGCCUGUACAAGUAGAGCCCCUGGGGCAGGAGACUCUGACAGACAGAAGGGAGAGCUGCAGUCCAGGGCUCUCUCCCUCUGUCCCCACCACCUCCUCAAUGCCUGCCCCUGUCUCCUCAGUCUACUCUGCCCAAAGUGAAGAGAAUAGAAAAGAGAAAAGAAAAAAGCUUAUUUGCACUGUGCAUUUGUUGAAGUGUUGUUCUUCUUGUUUUCCCUCUGGUGAACAACAAAACAAGCUGAUCUUGACGUCAGUAGCUUCCCUGUGCCUCGUAGCUGAGUGGUGGGGGACGGCGGUCGAUGGAGACACGAGAAGCCCGCUGAAUAUUAUUCUCUUCCUGUGGAGAGGAAGAGGAGAGCGAGAGAGAGAGAGAGAGAGAGGGGGACGGCAUGCUCGCCUCGGCUGACCAAACAUGCGAAACAAAAACAAGCCAUGUUAAUGGAAGGACAGAGGCCACCUCAUUUACCUAAAGCAGGGGGAGUCCUGCUUUUCUUAAUCAGUGUAAGAGAUGGGAGCGCUCCAUAAUUCAACUCAUAGUGGAAAUAAUGCCAUGUUCAAAACCCUCAACCAACUAUGUAUACGGUUUAAACAGCUUGUCUUAAGACCUCCUUAGUACCAUGAUCCAUUAUGUCAGAUGUGUACCACCACCAACAGUAUAUUUGUGUCAACCGAAUAUAGCAUUAGGCUCAACCAGAAUACUUUGGGUGGCAUAGAUUUCAUGAAAGUGUGUGUGUUCCAAAUGGAUAUAUGGUAAAGGCGGCUGUAUGACAGUUCUCCAUGCAGUCAGAGGACAGGUCAGGUACUCUAAAGCCUGGCAGGUGUUUUUGAAUUAACACUUUGUGGAAAAAUGUUCUGUUUUGUAAGUCUCAAGGCGUUGUGUGUCAGAAAACAAAAUUAUUUAAUGUCUAAACUUUUAACUGCACUCAAGACAUAGCAAACCCCUGCUUGGCAUUUGUCAUUCUCAAUACUUAUCUAUCUGAUGAGACAAACAGUAUAUGCCUUUUGUGUCUUUUUCAUACAUUUGUGACAGUCAACUCCCCAACUGUGGCUCAAAAUCAAGUAACUUUAAAAUACAGUAUAUUCCUAAUUAUAUUUUAAUCUGAAUAUAUUUACAUUCUCGUAUUUUAAAUUUUUUGAAGAAAAUUACAAAAUAUAUAUUAAAUAUAAGCUAUCUGGAACUCCUCCCAUCUCUCACCAGAUAUUGAAGUGAGUUCUUGUGAUUCAUGCCGUCCCAUUAAUACUACUGAAUGUUACCACCAGUGGCAUGCUGGGUAGUGUAGUUUAAUGUCAUGAUAUAGACCUGAUUGGGAGGUUUCAAUGUUGGUUUCCAGAUGACUACAACCUCCACAAAGCCCCAUUGUGAUUGUUUUCCCAGGGACCCUCAAAGGGGACAUUAUUACUGUGUGUGCUUGUUUCUGCACUGCUGAAGUUUAAUGCUCGUCACAGACAGACAGGAGGACUUUCUUUACUCCACUGGAGCAUGGGCUCAGCACAGCGGGGAUUCUGCUCUGGUCGAUGCGUUUGUCAGAGAGACGGGGUGCAGAUGGGACUAACCUCCCCGUGGGCAGAGACACAGCAGCUGGACACUGGUCCGACAGGGAGCUCGAGGCCCAGACAGCAGAUUAACACAAGGUUCUAUUUUCUUCUCUUUAUCACCUCAAACUACAGUCUACUGGAAAAGGCAGAAAUACUUUACAUGUUUUAAACAUAUCUCUGAUCAAUCAUUGUUAAAAUGGGAAAAAGGGUAUGCUUUUUGAGUUAGUCAUAACUCACUGGGCACAGACAUCAAUUCAAUGUUUAUUCCACGUGGUCAAAUGGUAUUUUAUUGAAAGGGUGUGGAAACAACGUUGAUUCAACCAGUGUGUGCCCAGCGGGUGCAUGGCUACAUUUCCAGCUUAGUGAGUGACUUGCAGUGCCUGUCUGUGAGGGCUGCAGCAUUUCAAGCUCUUGAGAAAAGUCUCUCAUUGGUGUUUGAACAGUUGACAAUGUGUGAGCAAGUGGGUUUAUGCCUUUAGUCAUAGGAUUAUUACAAUAUGGGCCCCAGUCUAGGCCUCUUCAAAACCACAGUCAAUCAUCUGCUGUCCAGGAAAUAAAUACAAAUUGGGUGCAAUAUUCUUAACAAUAAAGAAUGACAGAUCAGUUUUAA